GACGAACGCUGGCGGCGUGCCUAAUACAUGCAAGUAGAACGCUGAAGGAGGAGCUUGCUCUUCUGGAUGAGUUGCGAACGGGUGAGUAACGCGUAGGUAACCUGCCUGGUAGCGGGGGAUAACUAUUGGAAACGAUAGCUAAUACCGCAUAACAGUAGAUGUUGCAUGACAUUUGCUUAAAAGGUGCAAUUGCACCACUACCAGAUGGACCUGCGUUGUAUUAGCUAGUUGGUGGGGUAACGGCUCACCAAGGCGACGAUACAUAGCCGACCUGAGAGGGGGAUCGGCCACACUGGGACUGAGACACGGCCCAGACGCCUACGGGAGGCAGCAGGAGGGAAUCGUCGGCAAUGGACGGAAGUCUGACCGAGCAACGCCGCGUGAGGGAAGAAGGUCUUCGGAUCGUAAAGCUCUGUUGUCAGAGAAGAACGAGUGUGAGAGUGGAAAGUUCACACUGUGACGGUAACUUAUCAGAAAGCGACGGCUAACUACGUG
RNAcentral lists this ribosomal RNA (495 nucleotides) under uncultured bacterium. RNAcentral describes it as "partial 16S ribosomal RNA". It matches the Rfam family "Bacterial small subunit ribosomal RNA", at positions 28 to 507 of the family's 1533-position model. The record is from RNAcentral.